GAUGAACGCUGGCGGCGUGCUUAACACAUGCAAGUCGAACGAUGAAGCCCAGCUUGCUGGGUGGAUUAGUGGCGAACGGGUGAGUAACACGUGAGUAACCUGCCCUUGACCCUGGGAUAAGCGCUGGAAACGGCGUCUAAUACCGGAUACGAGCUUCCACCGCAUGGUGAGUUGCUGGAAAGAAUUUCGGUCAAGGAUGGACUCGCGGCCUAUCAGGUAGUUGGUGAGGUAACGGCUCACCAAGCCGACGACGGGUAGCCGGCCUGAGAGGGUGACCGGCCACACUGGGACUGAGACACGGCCCAGACUCCUACGGGAGGCAGCAGUGGGGAAUAUUGCACAAUGGGCGCAAGCCUGAUGCAGCAACGCCGCGUGAGGGACGAAGGCCUUCGGGUCGUAAACCUCUUUUAGCAGGGAAGAAGCGAAAGUGACGGUACCUGCAGAAAAAGCACCGGCUAACUACGUG
This 466-nucleotide ribosomal RNA is filed under the name uncultured bacterium. RNAcentral describes it as "partial 16S ribosomal RNA". It matches the Rfam family "Bacterial small subunit ribosomal RNA", at positions 28 to 507 of the family's 1533-position model. The record is from RNAcentral.